CCUACGCGAGGCAGCAGUAGGGAAUCUUCCACAAUGGGCGAAAGCCUGAUGGAGCAACGCCGCGUGGGUGAAGAAGGUCUUCGGAUCGUAAAACCCUGUUGUUAGAGAAGAAAGUGCGUGAGAGUAACUGUUCACGUUUCUACGGUAUCUAACCGGAAAGCCACGGCUAACUACGUGCCAGCAGCAGCGGUGAGGCGUAGGUGGCAAGCGUUAUCCGGAUUUAUUGGGCGUAAAGGGAAUGCAGGCGGUCUUUUAAGUCUGAUGUGAAAGCCUUCGGCUCAACCGGAGUAGUGCAUUAGGAACUGGGAGACUUGAGUGCAGAAGAGGAGGGGGGAACUCGAUGUGUAGCGGUGAAAUG
This 358-nucleotide ribosomal RNA is filed under the name uncultured bacterium. Its description in RNAcentral is "partial 16S ribosomal RNA". It matches the Rfam family "Bacterial small subunit ribosomal RNA", at positions 338 to 688 of the family's 1533-position model. The record is from RNAcentral.